GUAGGUGGCAAGCGUUGUCCGGAAUUAUUGGGCGUAAAGCGCGCGCAGGCGGUUCUUUAAGUCUGAUGUGAAAGCCCACAGCUCAACCGUGGAGGGUCAUUGGAAACUGGAGAACUUGAGUACAGAAGAGGAAAGCGGAAUUCCACGUGUAGCGGUGAAAUGCGUAGAGAUGUGGAGGAACACCAGUGGCGAAGGCGGCUUUCUGGUCUGUAACUGACGCUGAGGCGCGAAAGCGUGGGGGGAGCAAACAGGAUUAGAUACCCUGGUAGUCCACGCCGUAAACGAUGAGUGCUAAGUGUUAGGGGGUUUCCGCCCCCCCCUUAGUGCUGCAGCUAACGCAUUAAGCACUCCGCCUGGGAGUACGGCCGCAAGGCUG
This 376-nucleotide ribosomal RNA is filed under the name uncultured organism. RNAcentral's name for it is "partial 16S ribosomal RNA". It matches the Rfam family "Bacterial small subunit ribosomal RNA", at positions 527 to 896 of the family's 1533-position model. The record is from RNAcentral.